Molecule: small nucleolar RNA, 107 nt
Filed under: Nelumbo nucifera (sacred lotus)
Lineage: Eukaryota; Viridiplantae; Streptophyta; Magnoliopsida; Proteales; Nelumbonaceae
Description: Plant small nucleolar RNA R71
Rfam family: Plant small nucleolar RNA R71
About the family: R71 is a member of the C/D box family of snoRNAs containing the C (UGAUGA) and D (CUGA) box motifs.
Source: Rfam by way of RNAcentral
AGUCCAUGAUGGGGGACCUUCCUUAACAACUCCUUGUAACGCUCCCAAAACUCAUACAAUGACUCUCCAUUUUGCUAAAAGAAAGUGGUGAUGUCAUUCCUCAUCUU